UACGAAGGGGGCUAGCGUUGCUCGGAAUUACUGGGCGUAAAGAGUGUGUAGGCGGUGUUCUAAGUUUGUCGUGAAAUCUCCCGGCUUAACUGGGAGGGUGCGGCGAAAACUGGAAUGCUAGAGGAUGGGAGAGGUAAGCGGAAUUCCUGGUGUAGCGGUGAAAUGCGUAGAUAUCAGGAGGAACACCUGUGGUGUAGACAGCUUACUGGACCAUUUCUGACGCUGAGACACGAAAGCGUGGGUAGCAAACAGG
Molecule: ribosomal RNA, 253 nt
Filed under: uncultured bacterium
Lineage: Bacteria
Description: partial 16S ribosomal RNA
Rfam family: Bacterial small subunit ribosomal RNA
Source: RNAcentral